UACGUAGGGACCGAGCGUUGUCCGGAUUCAUUGGGCGUAAAGAGCUCGUAGGCGGCCGCUCAAGUCGAACGUGAAAACUCGGAGCUCAACUCCGAGCCCGCGUUCGAUACUGGGUGGCUAGAGUGCAGAAGGGGCAACUGGAAUUCUCGGUGUAGCGGUGAAAUGCGUAGAUAUCGAGAGGAACACCUGCGGCGAAGGCGGGUUGCUGGGCUGACACUGACGCUGAGGCGCGAAAGCUAGGGGAGCGAACGGG
This 253-nucleotide ribosomal RNA is filed under the name uncultured bacterium. Its description in RNAcentral is "partial 16S ribosomal RNA". It matches the Rfam family "Bacterial small subunit ribosomal RNA", at positions 524 to 776 of the family's 1533-position model. The record is from RNAcentral.